RNAcentral lists this ribosomal RNA (454 nucleotides) under uncultured bacterium. RNAcentral describes it as "partial 16S ribosomal RNA". It matches the Rfam family "Bacterial small subunit ribosomal RNA", at positions 28 to 507 of the family's 1533-position model. The record is from RNAcentral.
GAUGAACGCUGACAGAAUGCUUAACACAUGCAAGUCAACUUGAACUUCGGUUUGGGUGGCGGACGGGUGAGUAACGCGUAAAGAACUUGCCUCACAGCUAGGGACAACAUUUGGAAACGAAUGCUAAUACCUGAUAUUAUGAUUUUAGGGCAUCCUAGAAUUAUGAAAGCUAUAUGCGCUGUGAGAGAGCUUUGCGUCCCAUUAGCUAGUUGGAGAGGUAACGGCUCACCAAGGCGAUGAUGGGUAGCCGGCCUGAGAGGGUGAACGGCCACAAGGGGACUGAGACACGGCCCUUACUCCUACGGGAGGCAGCAGUGGGGAAUAUUGGACAAUGGACCAAGAGUCUGAUCCAGCAAUUCUGUGUGCACGAUGAAGUUUUUCGGAAUGUAAAGUGCUUUCAGUUGGGAAGAAAAAAAUGACGGUACCAACAGAAGAAGUUACGGCUAAAUACGUG